UACGGGGGGGGCAAGCGUUGUUCGGAAUUACUGGGCGUAAAGGGCUUGUAGGCGGCCAACUAAGUCAGACGUGAAAUCCCUCGGCUUAACCGGGGAACUGCGUCUGAUACUGGAUGGCUAGAGAUUGGGAGAGGGAUGCGGAAUUCCAGGUGUAGCGGUGAAAUACGUAGAUAUCCGGAGGAACACCAGUGGCGAAGGCGACUUUCUGGCCUGUUCUUGACGCUGAGGCGCGAAAGCUAGGGGAGCAAACGGG
Molecule: ribosomal RNA, 253 nt
Filed under: uncultured bacterium
Lineage: Bacteria
Description: partial 16S ribosomal RNA
Rfam family: Bacterial small subunit ribosomal RNA
Source: RNAcentral